RNAcentral lists this ribosomal RNA (403 nucleotides) under uncultured bacterium. RNAcentral's name for it is "bacterial SSU rRNA". It matches the Rfam family "Bacterial small subunit ribosomal RNA", at positions 9 to 420 of the family's 1533-position model. The record is from RNAcentral.
GAGUUUGAUCGUGGCUCAGGACGAACGCUGGCGGCGUGCCUAACACAUGCAAGUCGAACGGAGCCCGCAAGGGUUCAGUGGCGAACGGGCGCGUAACACGUGAAGAACUUGUCCAUCGGCGGGGGAUAGCCGGCCCAACGGCCGGGUAAUACCGCGUACGCUUGUCGGGUGGCAUCAUCUGACAAGGAAAGCAGCAAUGCACCGAUGGAGAGCUUCGCGGCCUAUCAGCUUGUUGCGGGGUAAUGGCCCACCAAGGCGACGACGGGUAGCUGGUCUGAGAGGAUGACCAGCCACAUUGGGACUGAGACACGGCCCAGACUCCUACGGGAGGCAGCAGUGGGGAAUAUUGCGCAAUGGGCGAAAGCCUGACGCAGCGACGCCGCGUGUGGGAUGACGGCCUCGG